CUUGCUGGCACCAGGGUCUCUGCUCUCUCAUCGGCGUCACCGUCGAAUCUCUUUGUCUAAUUGUCCCUCCCCUCCCCUCUCGCUCUGCAAAAUCCCUUAAACACUAGCCCUGAUUUUCAACAAACCAACGCAUAUUCCAUUCAACACCCAACAGCUCAAAUCUGCAUAGUCUCAUAAAUUCUACCAUUUAUAGACCCCCCCAACUUCCCAUGCUCUAGCACAAGAACACAAUCACCACCAUGCCUCCUCAACUCCUCCUGCCUCUUUUCUGCUUAUUGUUUGCUUUCUUCGAUCAAAACCUCGCAAUCGGAUCUCAGCCAUCGAUAUACGACACUCUCAGGUCGCACGGCCUCCCAAUGGGCUUGCUUCCGAAGGGCGUCAAGGAUUUCACCGUUGACGACGCCGGAAGGUUCGAAGUGCAUCUGGAUCGAGCGUGCAACGCCAAGUUCGAGAGCGAAUUGCAUUACGAUCUCAACGUUUCAGGGACUCUGAGCUACGGUCAGAUCGGCGAGCUCUCGGGGAUUUCAGCGCAAGAGUUGUUUCUCUGGUUUCCCGUUAAGGGGAUUCGCGUCGAUGUCCCAAGCUCCGGACUCAUUUACUUUGAUGUGGGUGUUGUUUUCAAGCAAUUCGCUCUGUCCCUGUUCGAGACCCCGCCGGAUUGUUUGGCCGUUCAAGAUUCUUAUCUUCUCGAUGAUAGUAUCGUUGCCGAGGUGACGUCCAAUGAUCAAUCUGGGGAGCUUCUACAUUGGCUUGAUCAUAGAGAUAUUGCAAGCGCUGUCAUGUAAAUAGGUGAAGGUGAUCCUGAGUUGCACAGUAUCUCUAUCAGAAUAUCGGUUUUCUAUUCCUCAUCUGUACAUGUCUUCAGAGAGUCUGGUAUAGCAGGUCAUCUGCUUCCACCUGGUGUGCCUACUUGCGGUUUGUGGUCUAGUGCAGAGUCCGCAAAUCAGUCAACCCAGUUCCUGUCUAUGCUUGGAUUGCCGGCAGAUCUUGUCGGAUUGAGAAAAAAAGGUGAAAUGAGGAGAAUGUAUCCACAACAUUGGUGGUUCAUCUGUAGAUGAUAAAAUGAGAGACGGGAGAAUCAGGGCAAGAUGAUUUCAGCUUUUCUCUUUCCUAUACGGCAACUUCCCUCCCUAUUACAACACUAACAACAACUAGGGGUGACAAAAUGGAUUCAAGGGCCGGGUUCAGACGGGUUGUAAACGGUUCAGGUGGUAACCAUGUAAAUCCUAACCCGCCCAUUUAUUAAACGAACAGGUCACGGGUUACAAGUUUUAAAAAAAUUUAUAAUUUAUUUUUUUAAAGGGCAAAUCUUUAAAAAAAAACAAAAAAAAAAAAAGUAAAAAAAUUAUUUGCAUGGUGACACUGACAGAUUCACAAACUGAGACUGAGAGAGCCGAGAGAGGGACUGGAGAAUGAGGGUGAGAGGGAGGGGGAGGCUGAGGGUGAGAUCGUGGAGUGAGAGGGAGGGGGAGACUAAGGAUGAGAUCACUGAGAUCGUGACAGAGAGACUGAGAGUGAGACGGGCUGAGGCGACUGGCAAGCGCGGGACGGCGAGAGGAUCUGCAGAGGCUCGACAGGACGGUGUUCGGCGAUGGCGAGGCUUGACUCUUAAGAGACGGUGACGGCGUGCGAGUGCGCCGUGCUGGUGCUGUGACGGCGAGGCUACCUGGAAGUGGAAGUGGAAGAGGAAGAUCGAAGGGGUGCAGGACAAUGGCUGCACUUGGCUGGGUUUAACUUAAAUGGAUUGGGGUUGCCUAAUGCCUAAUGAGAGUAAUGCCCUAAUGGUUGUACUGCUCUUUUUCAAUUUCUACUUCUGCAUUUUAAUAUUUUAAAGCUAUGUGAUGGUUUUGACCUUCACCACCAUAUAAAUGAAUAUCUCAACCUUCUUAAAA
This is an RNA transcript of Malania oleifera, 1892 nucleotides long. RefSeq lists it as uncharacterized. Lineage: Eukaryota; Viridiplantae; Streptophyta; Magnoliopsida; Santalales; Ximeniaceae. The transcript has 3 exons. The record is from RefSeq and is a predicted model, not a curated record.